GUGCUCACUUCAGCAGCACAGAUACUAAAAUUGGAAUGAUACAGAGAUUGGCAUGGCCCCUGCACAGGAAUGACAUGCAAAUUCAUGUAGUGUUCUGUAUUUUG
Molecule: small nuclear RNA, 104 nt
Organism: Neofelis nebulosa (Clouded leopard)
Lineage: Eukaryota; Metazoa; Chordata; Mammalia; Carnivora; Felidae
Source: RefSeq, a predicted model, not a curated record